RNAcentral lists this ribosomal RNA (484 nucleotides) under uncultured bacterium. RNAcentral's name for it is "partial 16S ribosomal RNA". It matches the Rfam family "Bacterial small subunit ribosomal RNA", at positions 29 to 507 of the family's 1533-position model. The record is from RNAcentral.
AUUGAACGCUGGCGGCACGCUUUACACAUGCAAGUCGAACGGCAGCGCGGGCUUCGGCCUGGCGGCGAGUGGCGAACGGGUGAGUAAUACAUCGGAACGUGCCCAGUAGUGGGGGAUAGCUCGGCGAAAGCCGGAUUAAUACCGCAUACGACCUGAGGGUGAAAGCGGGGGAUCUUCGGACCUCGCGCUAUUGGAGCGGCCGAUGGCAGAUUAGCUAGUUGGUGGGGUAAAGGCCUACCAAGGCGACGAUCUGUAGCUGGUCUGAGAGGACGACCAGCCACACUGGGACUGAGACACGGCCCAGACUCCUACGGGAGGCAGCAGUGGGAAAUUUUGGACAAUGGGCGAAAGCCUGAUCCAGCAAUGCCGCGUGUGUGAUGAAGGCCUUCGGGUUGUAAAGCACUUUUGGCGGGAACGAAAAGGACUGUGCCAAUACCACGGUUCGAUGACGGUACCCGCAGAAUAAGCACCGGCUAACUACGUG